Molecule: ribosomal RNA, 866 nt
Filed under: Bacillus pumilus
Lineage: Bacteria; Bacillati; Bacillota; Bacilli; Caryophanales; Bacillaceae
Description: bacterial SSU rRNA
Rfam family: Bacterial small subunit ribosomal RNA
Source: RNAcentral
UGGGGCGUAAAGGGCUCGCAGGCGGUCUCUUAAGUCUGAUGUGAAAGCCCCCGGCUCAACCGCGGAGGGUCAUUGGAAACUGGGAGACUUGAGUGCAGAAGAGGAGAGUGGAAUUCCACGUGUAGCGGUGAAAUGCGUAGAGAUGUGGAGGAACACCAGUGGCGAAGGCGACUCUCUGGUCUGUAACUGACGCUGAGGAGCGAAAGCGUGGGGAGCGAACAGGAUUAGAUACCCUGGUAGUCCACGCCGUAAACGAUGAGUGCUAAGUGUUAGGGGGUUUCCGCCCCUUAGUGCUGCAGCUAACGCAUUAAGCACUCCGCCUGGGGAGUACGGUCGCAAGACUGAAACUCAAAGGAAUUGACGGGGGCCCGCACAAGCGGUGGAGCAUGUGGUUUAAUUCGAAGCAACGCGAAGAACCUUACCAGGUCUUGACAUCCUCUGACACCUCUAGAGAUAGGGCUUUCCCUUCGGGGACAGAGUGACAGGUGGUGCAUGGUUGUCGUCAGCUCGUGUCGUGAGAUGUUGGGUUAAGUCCCGCAACGAGCGCAACCCUUGAUCUUAGUUGCCAGCAUUUAGUUGGGCACUCUAAGGUGACUGCCGGUGACAAACCGGAGGAAAGUGGGGAUGACGUCAAAUCAUCAUGCCCCUUAUGACCUGGGCUACACACGUGCUACAAUGGACAGAACAAAGGGCUGCGAGACCGCAAGGUUUAGCCAAUCCCAUAAAUCUGUUCUCAGUUCGGAUCGCAGUCUGCAACUCGACUGCGUGAAGCUGGAAUCGCUAGUAAUCGCGGAUCAGCAUGCGCGGUGAAUACGUUCCCGGGCUUGUACACCCGCCGUCACACCACGAGAGUUUGCAACACCCGA